GCUUAACACAUGCAAGUCGAACGGAAAGGCCCUGCUUUUGUGGGGUGCUCGAGUGGCGAACGGGUGAGUAACACGUGAGUAACCUGCCCUUGACUUUGGGAUAACUUCAGGAAACUGGGGCUAAUACCGGAUAGGAGCUCCUGCUGCAUGGUGGGGGUUGGAAAGUUUCGGCGGUUGGGGAUGGACUCGCGGCUUAUCAGCUUGUUGGUGGGGUAGUGGCUUACCAAGGCUUUGACGGGUAGCCGGCCUGAGAGGGUGACCGGCCACAUUGGGACUGAGAUACGGCCCAGACUCCUACGGGAGGCAGCAGUGGGGAAUAUUGCACAAUGGGCGGAAGCCUGAUGCAGCAACGCCGCGUGCGGGAUGACGGCCUUCGGGUUGUAAACCGCUUUCGCCUGUGACGAAGCGUGAGUGACGGUAAUGGGUAAAGAAGCACCGGCUAACUACGUGCCAGCAGCCGCGGUGAUACGUAGGGUGCGAGCGUUGUCCGGAUUUAUUGGGCGUAAAGGGCUCGUAGGUGGUUGAUCGCGUCGGAAGUGUAAUCUUGGGGCUUAACCCUGAGCGUGCUUUCGAUACGGGUUGACUUGAGGAAGGUAGGGGAGAAUGGAAUUCCUGGUGGAGCGGUGGAAUGCGCAGAUAUCAGGAGGAACACCAGUGGCGAAGGCGGUUCUCUGGGCCUUUCCUGACGCUGAGGAGCGAAAGCGUGGGGAGCGAACAGGCUUAGAUACCCUGGUAGUCCACGCUGUAAACGGUGGGUACUAGGUGUGGGGUCCAUUCCACGGGUUCCGUGCCGUAGCUAACGCCUUAAGUACCCCGCCUGGGGAGUACGGCCGCAAGGCUAAAACUCAAAGGAAUUGACGGGGCCCCGCACAAGCGGCGGAGCAUGCGGAUUAAUUCGAUGCAACGCGUAGAACCUUACCUGGGUUUGACAUGGAUCGGGAGUGCUCAGAGAUGGGUGUGCCUCUUUUGGGGUCGGUUCACAGGUGGUGCAUGGCUGUCGUCAGCUCGUGUCGUGAGAUGUUGGGUUAAGUCCCGCAACGAGCGCAACCCUUGUUCACUGUUGCCAGCACGUUAUGGUGGGGACUCAGUGGAGACCGCCGGGGUCAACUCGGAGGAAGGUGGGGAUGACGUCAAGUCAUCAUGCCCCUUAUGUCCAGGGCUUCACGCAUGCUACAAUGGCUGGUACAGAGAGUGGCGAGCCUGUGAGGGUGAGCGAAUCUCGGAAAGCCGGUCUCAGUUCGGAUUGGGGUCUGCAACUCGACCUCAUGAAGUCGGAGUCGCUAGUAAUCGCAGAUCAGCAACGCUGCGGUGAAUACGUUCCCGGGGCUUGUACACACCGCCCGUCAAGUCAUGAAAGUUGGUAACACCCGAAGCCGGUGGCCUAACCGUUGUGGGGGAGCCGUCGAAGGUGGGACUGGUGAUUAGGACUAAGUCAUAAC
This 1439-nucleotide ribosomal RNA is filed under the name uncultured organism. Its description in RNAcentral is "16S ribosomal RNA". It matches the Rfam family "Bacterial small subunit ribosomal RNA". The record is from RNAcentral.